GAUGAACGCUGACAGAAUGCUUAACACAUGCAAGUCUUUGGCGAAGCUGUGCUUGCACAGCCUAGCCAAGGCGGACGGGUGAGUAACGCGUAAGGAACUUGCCCUGCAGUCAGGGAUAACAGACGGAAACGACUGAUAAGACCUGGUAAAGUCAGGCGGACUCAUGUCCAGCCUGAUGAAAAGAGAUGCUGCAGGAGAGCCUUGCGUCCUAUUAGCUUGUUGGUGGGGUAACGGCCCACCAAGGCGAUGAUAGGUAGCCGGCCUGAGAGGGUGGACGGCCACAAGGGGACUGAGAUACGGCCCUUACUCCUACGGGAGGCAGCAGUGGGGAAUAUUGGACGAUGGGGGCAACCCUGAUCCAGCAAUUCUGUGUGCACGAUGAAGGUUUUCGGAUUGUAAAGUGCUUUCAGCAGGGAAGAAAAAAAUGACGGUACCUGCAGAAGAAGCGACGGCUAAAUACGU
RNAcentral lists this ribosomal RNA (462 nucleotides) under uncultured bacterium. RNAcentral's name for it is "partial 16S ribosomal RNA". It matches the Rfam family "Bacterial small subunit ribosomal RNA", at positions 28 to 506 of the family's 1533-position model. The record is from RNAcentral.